ACUCCUACGGGAGGCAGCAGUAAGUUAAUACCUUGCUGUUUUGACGUUACCGACAGAAUAAGCACCGGCUAACUCUGUGCCAGCAGCCGCGGUAAUA
RNAcentral lists this ribosomal RNA (97 nucleotides) under uncultured Pseudomonas sp. RNAcentral describes it as "partial 16S ribosomal RNA". Lineage: Bacteria; Pseudomonadati; Pseudomonadota; Gammaproteobacteria; Pseudomonadales; Pseudomonadaceae. The record is from RNAcentral.